UAGUAACUGCGAGUGAAGCGGGAAAAGCUCAAAUUUAAAAUCUGUCAGUCUUUGGCUGUCCGAGUUGUAAUCUAGAGAAGUGUUAUCCGCGCUGGACCGUGUACAAGUCUCCUGGAAUGGAGCGUCAUAGAGGGUGAGAAUCCCGUCUUUGACACGGACUGCCAGGGCUUUGUGAUGCGCUCUCAAAGAGUCGAGUUGUUUGGGAAUGCAGCUCAAAAUGGGUGGUAAAUUCCAUCUAAAGCUAAAUAUUGGCGAGAGACCGAUAGCGAACAAGUACCGUGAGGGAAAGAUGAAAAGAACUUUGGAAAGAGAGUUAAACAGUACGUGAAAUUGCUGAAAGGGAAACGCUUGAAGUCAGUCGCGUUGUCCAGGGAUCAACCUUGCUUUUGCUUGGUGUAUUUUCUGGUUGACGGGUCAGCAUCAAUUUUGACUGUUGGAAAAAGAUCAGGGGAAUGUGGCAUCUUCGGAUGUGUUAUAGCCCUUGGUUGCAUACAACGGCUGGGAUUGAGGAACUCAGCACGCCGCAAGGCCGGGUAAAUUUACCACGUACGUGCUUAGGAUGCUGGCAUAAUGGCUUUAAUCGACCCGUCUUGAAACACGGACCAAGGAGUCUAACAUGCCUGCGAGUGUUUGGGUGGAAAACCCGAGCGCGUAAUGAAAGUGAAAGUUGAGAUCCCUGUCGUGGGGAGCAUCGACGCCCAGACCAGACCUCUUGUGACGGUUCUGCGGUAGAGCAUGUAUGUUGGGACCCGAAAGAUGGUGAACUAUGCCUGAAUAGGGUGAAGCCAGAGGAAACUCUGGUGGAGGCUCGUAGCGAUUCUGACGUGCAAAUCGAUCGUCAAAUUUGGGUAUAGGGGCGAAAGACUAAUCGAACCAUCUAGUAGCUGGUUCCUGC
RNAcentral lists this ribosomal RNA (895 nucleotides) under Phlegmacium saginum. RNAcentral's name for it is "eukaryotic LSU rRNA". It matches the Rfam family "Eukaryotic large subunit ribosomal RNA", at positions 81 to 961 of the family's 3401-position model. Lineage: Eukaryota; Fungi; Basidiomycota; Agaricomycetes; Agaricales; Cortinariaceae. The record is from RNAcentral.